CUGCAACGUGGUAGCGUGAGUGAUAGCAGAAUUAUCUGGGAAGGUAAGCCAGGGAGGGUGAGAGCCCCGUAAGCGAAAUUGCAAGCGCGCCUAGCAGAAUCCUGAGUAGGCCGGGACACGAGAAAUCCCGUGUGAAUCAGCGAGGACCAUCUCGUAAGGCUAAAUACUACUGUGU
RNAcentral lists this unclassified non-coding RNA (175 nucleotides) under uncultured Lactococcus sp. RNAcentral describes it as "partial contains 16S ribosomal RNA, 16S-23S ribosomal RNA intergenic spacer, and 23S ribosomal RNA". It matches the Rfam family "Bacterial large subunit ribosomal RNA", at positions 306 to 481 of the family's 2925-position model. The record is from RNAcentral. Lineage: Bacteria; Bacillati; Bacillota; Bacilli; Lactobacillales; Streptococcaceae.